GAUGAACGCUGACAGAAUGCUUAACACAUGCAAGUCUUUGGCGAAGCUGUGCUUGCACAGCCUAGCCAAGGCGGACGGGUGAGUAACGCGUAAGGGACUUGCCCUGCAGUCAGGGAUAACAGACGGAAACGACUGAUAAGACCUGGUAAAGUCAGGCGGACUCAUGUCCAGCCUGAUGAAAAGGAAUGCUGCAGGAGAGCCUUGCGUCCUAUUAGCUUGUUGGUGGGGUAACGGCCCACCAAGGCGAUGAUAGGUAGCCGGCCUGAGAGGGUGGACGGCCACAAGGGGACUGAGAUACGGCCCUUACUCCUACGGGAGGCAGCAGUGGGGAAUAUUGGACAAUGGGGGCAACCCUGAUCCAGCAAUUCUGUGUGCACGAUGAAGGUCUUCGGAUUGUAAAGUGCUUUCAGCAGGGAAGAAAAA
RNAcentral lists this ribosomal RNA (423 nucleotides) under Leptotrichia wadei. RNAcentral's name for it is "bacterial SSU rRNA". It matches the Rfam family "Bacterial small subunit ribosomal RNA", at positions 28 to 452 of the family's 1533-position model. The record is from RNAcentral. Lineage: Bacteria; Fusobacteriati; Fusobacteriota; Fusobacteriia; Fusobacteriales; Leptotrichiaceae.